CCGCCCUGCGCCGUCGCGACCAGAGAAGUCCGCCAGUUGCGCGCCUGGAGCAGGGGACGAUACAGCCAGGUUUAGAUGAUCUUUGAUGCGUAGUGAGUAACAAUGGUUGCCUUGCGUCUAGCACCACCGCCAUCAAUGACUGUCCCGCCGGACAUUACUUGGCUCCGAAACAGUUCUUGAUCACCCAUGAUGGAUGUUAAUGGUUCUGAUGAUGGUAUUUGUACAUAUCGAAGGCCACCAAGAAAUUGAUUUGUGCCAAUUUACCAUGAAUUGCUACCUUUUUUAUCAAGCUCAAAAGCAAGACAACAAAAC
Salvia miltiorrhiza (redroot sage) is the source of this 312-nucleotide long non-coding RNA. RefSeq lists it as uncharacterized. The transcript has 3 exons. The record is from RefSeq and is a predicted model, not a curated record. NCBI's taxonomy places the organism in Eukaryota, Viridiplantae, Streptophyta, Magnoliopsida, Lamiales, Lamiaceae.